Lemur catta (Ring-tailed lemur) is the source of this 477-nucleotide long non-coding RNA. RefSeq lists it as uncharacterized. Lineage: Eukaryota; Metazoa; Chordata; Mammalia; Primates; Lemuridae. The transcript is spliced from 3 exons. The record is from RefSeq and is a predicted model, not a curated record.
UGUUUUGUUUUGUUUUAACUUUAAGGAGCCUUCCCUUAUGGAUAAAUGGUUGCUUCUUUAAAAAAGCCCAACAUGUUCAAUACGAGGUCAAGUGUUUGACCUGAGAACCAGAAACACUGUUAUCAGGAAAAAAUUCGGCUUUUAAAACCUACCAGGACGGUUGAGGUUUUUUAGGAGUGACCCAGAAACGCAGGUUUGCUUCCAGUGGAGAUGAGAAUGGGGGUAGACAGGAAGAGAAACUCCUAGUCAUGAGAGGUACAGCUUUGGUCACUCUGAGUAAAGUGAUAAAAAGGGCUUUAUUCUAAGACAGCCUCCCAUCUUAAAGUCCAGCCUCAGGCAGGUCCCAUAGGAGGUAUCCAGAAGAAGGCAUUUUCAUCAUAGCAGACGACAGCUCCGUGCCUGUAUUGUCCCUGAAGACCUUCCAGUGAGACAAGAUGUGGAGGUGGAAGACAGUGAUAUUGAUGAGCCUGACCCUGU